This is a non-coding RNA of Trichonephila clavipes, 73 nucleotides long. Lineage: Eukaryota; Metazoa; Arthropoda; Arachnida; Araneae; Nephilidae. The record is from the annotation of a GenBank genome assembly.
GUUCCUGUAGCGUAAUUGGUAGUGCGUUGAACUUUUAUUUCAAAGGUCGUGCGUUCGAAUCCCACCUGGGAUG